This 49-nucleotide small nucleolar RNA is filed under the name Pyrococcus horikoshii OT3. Its description in RNAcentral is "PHOsR29". It matches the Rfam family "Pyrococcus C/D box small nucleolar RNA", at positions 5 to 55 of the family's 58-position model. Rfam says of the family: Computational screens have identified C/D box snoRNAs in a number of archaeal genomes. This family represents several related snoRNAs from Pyrococcus. Lineage: Archaea; Methanobacteriati; Methanobacteriota; Thermococci; Thermococcales; Thermococcaceae. The record is from RNAcentral.
AUGAUGAUCCUUGCCCAGCCUGAGGAGUGAUGAAGUCGGUAUUAGCUGA